Molecule: ribosomal RNA, 422 nt
Filed under: Torbda sp. NL403
Lineage: Eukaryota; Metazoa; Arthropoda; Insecta; Hymenoptera; Ichneumonidae
Description: eukaryotic LSU rRNA
Source: RNAcentral
CCUGAGAAACCCAAAAGAUCGAAUGGGGAGAUUCAUCGUCAGCGAUUUUGGCACGUGUGCGGUUCGCGAUGCCGGAGACUUCGGUCUCCAGGCACGCGUCCGCAUGUUUUUCAUUGCCUUAAACGUCGGCGUGCACUUCUCCCCUAGUAGGACGUCGCGACCCGUUGGGUGUCGGUCUACGGCCCGGGCGGUAGCCUGUCUCGUGUACGCUUCGCGGCGUUACGCGGUUCAGACCCCCGGAUGCCUGACCGGCUGCUCGGCGGUACGCGCACGGUAUCUGGCCGCAAAUAUUCGAACUGCGUCCGGCCCGUCGCAAGCGAGGCAAGUGUUUCCCGGCUGUACGGAUCUAACGCCGUCACCGGGCCUUGCCAGCUGUUGGUUGACGGUGUCCUAUGACAGGCCAAUGCAUUUAUGAUACCGGU